RNAcentral lists this ribosomal RNA (58 nucleotides) under cf. Phialophora LCP-01-4479. RNAcentral's name for it is "partial 28S ribosomal RNA". It matches the Rfam family "Eukaryotic large subunit ribosomal RNA", at positions 1 to 56 of the family's 3401-position model. The record is from RNAcentral. Lineage: Eukaryota; Fungi; Ascomycota; Sordariomycetes; Magnaporthales; Magnaporthaceae.
GUUGACCUCGGAUCAGGUAGGAAUACCCGCUGAACUUAAGCAUAUCAAUUAGCGGAGG